AUCAACUUUCGAUGGUAGGAUAGAGGCCUACCAUGGUGGUAACGGGUAACGGGGUGUUAGGGCACGACACCGGAGAGGGAGCCUGAGAAACGGCUACCACAUCCAAGGAUGGCAGCAGGCGCGCAAAUUACCCAAUCCCGACACGGGGAGGUAGUGACAAUAAAUAACAAUACGGGGUCCUUUCGGGUUUCGUAAUUGGAAUGAGUACAAUUUAAAUCUCUUAACGAGGAACAAUUGGAGGGCAAGUCUGGUGCCAGCAGCCGCGGUAAUUCCAGCUCCAAUAGCGUAUAUUAAAGUUGUUGCAGUUAAAAAGCUCGUAGUUGAAUUUCGGGAUCAGUGGGUCGGUCGUGCCACUGGUAUGCACUGGCCCUACUGGUUCCUCCUUCUUGAAGAACUGUAAUGCCAUUAAUUUGGUGUUGCAGGGAAACAGGACUGUUACUUUGAAAAAAUUAGAGUGUUUAAAGCAGGCAAUCGCUUGAAUACAUUAGCAUGGAAUAAUGAAAUAGGACGUUCGAUCCUAUUUUGUUGGUUUCUAGGAUUGACGUAAUGAUUAAUAGGGAUAGUUGGGGGCAUUAGUAUUCAAUUGUCAGAGGUGAAAUUCUUGGAUUUAUUGAAGACUAACUACUGCGAAAGCAUUUGCCAAGGAUGUUUUCAUUAAUCAAGAACGAAAGUUAGGGGAUCGAAGACGAUCAGAUACCGUCGUAGUCUUAACCAUAAACUAUGCCGACUAGGGAUCGGAUGAUGUUAAUUUUUUAAUGACUCAUUCGGCGCCUUACGGGAAACCAAAGUGUUUGGGUUC
Molecule: ribosomal RNA, 799 nt
Filed under: uncultured Glomeromycotina
Lineage: Eukaryota; Fungi; Glomeromycota
Description: SSU rRNA
Rfam family: Eukaryotic small subunit ribosomal RNA
Source: RNAcentral